RNAcentral lists this ribosomal RNA (497 nucleotides) under uncultured bacterium. RNAcentral's name for it is "partial 16S ribosomal RNA". It matches the Rfam family "Bacterial small subunit ribosomal RNA", at positions 28 to 507 of the family's 1533-position model. The record is from RNAcentral.
GAUGAACGCUGGCGGCGUGCCUAAUACAUGCAAGUCGAGCGAACAGACGAGGAGCUUGCUCCUCUGACGUUAGCGGCGGACGGGUGAGUAACACGUGGAUAACCUACCUAUAUGACUGGGAUAACUUCGGGAAACCGGAGCUAAUACCGGAUAAUAUAUUGAACCGCAUGGUUCAAUAGUGAAAGACGGUUUUGCUGUCACUUAUAGAUGGAUCCGCGCCGCAUUAGCUAGUUGGUAAGGUAACGGCUUACCAAGGCAACGAUGCGUAGCCGACCUGAGAGGGUGAUCGGCCACACUGGAACUGAGACACGGUCCAGGCGCCUACGGGAGGCAGCAGUAGGGAAUCUUCCGCAAUGGGCGAAAGCCUGACGGAGCAACGCCGCGUGAGUGAUGAAGGUCUUCGGAUCGUAAAACUCUGUUAUGAGGGAAGAACAAAUGUGUAAGUAACUAUGCACGUCUUGACGGUACCUAAUCAGAAAGCCACGGCUAACUACGUG